Molecule: non-coding RNA, 71 nt
Organism: Phrynosoma platyrhinos (Desert horned lizard)
Lineage: Eukaryota; Metazoa; Chordata; Lepidosauria; Squamata; Phrynosomatidae
Source: the annotation of a GenBank genome assembly
GCCAGCAUGGUAUAGUGGUUUGAACGUUGGACCAUGACUUUGGAGACCAGGGUUUGAAUCCCAGCUUGGCC